GGAAUUUCUCAGGUUCGCUAGAGGGCGGAGUUUGUGUCUCUCCUGCACAGAGUUAAUGAUUCUGCAAGAUGCAAGAUUCCGUGCAGAGUCGAAGGCUCUGUAAAGGGGCGGAGUUUGCAGUUCUGUUAGGCGGGGCACAUAACUGCCUGUGAAUUGUUAAACUCUGGACGGAGUUCAUACCUCUGCGAGGCCGGCCUAAUCACUACUAAGGCAUCGGGGCACUCCGCGACCCCCACUUCCAUCCAGCAAGCCUGCCCCUCGGCUUCUCGGAGGUUAAAGCUCAGCAGGAUCUGGCAGGGGCGUCUGGUUUGAGUUAGGGGAACGUGAGAGCAGCGACCGUGGGCGAUCCUGGGACUUCUCAGCUUUGAGCAGCCCGAGCCCUCGCUGGCGUGUGUUCUCUCUGACCCCGCACCAUCUUCACCCCGAACGAAGAAGUAUGCAGUGUGGCCCUGAGCCGGUUGCUUUGCUCCAGAGUCUGCCCGGGAGAUGGACCUGGGCUCUCUUGAGUUCCUGUUUUCUCCACCUCAGCCUCCUGGGCUCUGAUUUCUGCCCCCUCCCUAGAGCAAGAGGGAGGAACGCCUCCCAGAGCACCUACAAUCCAGAGAGGGGGGCAGCAUCCUUAGGUGACCUGAGCCCCAGCCCCCAACUUCUGGGCAGCCUGCCAGGAUGGGAAGGGAUGUUCUAAAGAAAGUUCAGGGGAACUCACCCCCUAGAUGCCCCCUUUAUCCCCCCAAAUCAGCAGCCCCAGAGCCUAUUUUUGACCCCUAAACCCCAAUUUUACUGUGCAUCAGCAGAAGCCCUAAUCCCUAAAUCCUUCUCUAGUUUCAGCCUUGCCUUCCUGGAGUUUUGGCAAAAAG
Heterocephalus glaber (naked mole-rat) is the source of this 857-nucleotide long non-coding RNA. NCBI's taxonomy places the organism in Eukaryota, Metazoa, Chordata, Mammalia, Rodentia, Bathyergidae. The record is from Ensembl.